GGGUAGAUGGCUCAGUGGAUAGAGCUCCAGACUUGGAAUUAGGAGGACAGUGGUUUAAAUCUAUCCU
RNAcentral lists this transfer RNA (67 nucleotides) under Monodelphis domestica (gray short-tailed opossum). It matches the Rfam family "tRNA". From Rfam's summary of the family: Transfer RNA (tRNA) molecules are approximately 80 nucleotides in length. Their secondary structure includes four short double-helical elements and three loops (D, anti-codon, and T loops). The record is from Rfam by way of RNAcentral. Lineage: Eukaryota; Metazoa; Chordata; Mammalia; Didelphimorphia; Didelphidae.